This 20-nucleotide microRNA is filed under the name Bos taurus (domestic cattle). RNAcentral's name for it is "microRNA miR-103". The record is from RNAcentral. Lineage: Eukaryota; Metazoa; Chordata; Mammalia; Artiodactyla; Bovidae.
AGCAGCAUACAGGGCUAUGA